Molecule: ribosomal RNA, 439 nt
Filed under: uncultured bacterium
Lineage: Bacteria
Description: partial 16S ribosomal RNA
Rfam family: Bacterial small subunit ribosomal RNA
Source: RNAcentral
CCUACGGGAGGCAGCAGUGGGGAAUAUUGCACAAUGGGGGGAACCCUGAUGCAGCGACGCCGCGUGAGUGAAGAAGUAUUUCGGUAUGUAAAGCUCUAUCAGCAGGGAAGAAAAUGACGGUACCUGACUAAGAAGCCCCGGCUAACUACGUGCCAGCAGCCGCGGUAAUACGUAGGGGGCAAGCGUUAUCCGGAUUUACUGGGUGUAAAGGGAGCGCAGACGGCUGUGCAAGUCUGGAGUGAAAGGCGGGGCCCAACCCCCGGACUGCUCUGGAAACUGUAAAGCUGGAGUGCAGGAGAGGUAAGCGGAAUUCCUAGUGUAGCGGUGAAAUGCGUAGAUAUUAGGAGGAACACCAGUGGCGAAGGCGGCUUACUGGACUGCAACUGACGUUGAGGCUCGAAAGCGUGGGGAGCAAACAGGAUUAGAUACCCCAGUAGUC